AGCGAAGUGUCCCUCCUGCUCAGGUGAAAAAUUAACUAAGAGACCGGAGCUGGCUGAGCCCUGAAGGGAUCAAGUUCUGCAGAUUCAGUAGAAAGCGGAAGUGUGGGGACAGAGUGCUGGUUACAGAAGAAGCGUGAUGAAAAAAAGGAUGUAGACGGUCCCUCUGUUAUUCCUUGGAAACUACAGCUCCCAGACUUCCCUUCACCUGGGCGCGCUGGCGCGCCCAGGUGAAGACCAUCACUCCCAGAUAACCUUGCGCCCGCAGUUAAAAGCGAGCGCUCCACGAGGUUUCUCUCUCUUGCCCCUUUUUCCUCGUGUGUCUGCACGUCCCGCCCUUAUCGUGUUUCCCUCUCCCCAUUAAACGCACCCACGUGGGA
This is a long non-coding RNA of Alexandromys fortis (reed vole), 377 nucleotides long. RefSeq lists it as uncharacterized. Lineage: Eukaryota; Metazoa; Chordata; Mammalia; Rodentia; Cricetidae. The record is from RefSeq and is a predicted model, not a curated record. The transcript has 2 exons.